UGGGGGGUACGAGAGGGCCGCUACCACGCAAGUGGAUGCCAAUCCCCAAAACCUCUCUCAGUUCGGAUUGAAGUCUGCAACCCGACUUCAUGAAGCUGGAUUCGCUAGUAAUCGCGCAUCAGCCACGGCGCGGUGAAUACGUUCCCGGGCCUUGUACACACCGCCCGUCAAGCCAUGGGAGCCGGGGGUACCUGAAGUGCGUAACCGCAAGGAGCGCCCUAGGGUAAAACUGGUGACUGGGGCUAAGUCGUAACAAGGUAUC
RNAcentral lists this ribosomal RNA (262 nucleotides) under uncultured bacterium. RNAcentral describes it as "partial 16S ribosomal RNA". It matches the Rfam family "Bacterial small subunit ribosomal RNA", at positions 1231 to 1500 of the family's 1533-position model. The record is from RNAcentral.